Clupea harengus (Atlantic herring) is the source of this 2295-nucleotide long non-coding RNA. The record is from Ensembl. Lineage: Eukaryota; Metazoa; Chordata; Actinopteri; Clupeiformes; Clupeidae.
AGCCCCUGGAUGUCGAUCUCAUGCGCGUCAGUAGAUCAACUCCAACUUUCCUCAUUUUCUAAAUACAUGAAGCCGUCACUUUCACACUUGAUUAAUAACAAAUGGGCUGUUGUCUGCCAGGACGUGCUUGCCAAAUACGAGAGGAAAAACCGCUCCAUGUUCAACAUGAUGGUUCGUCGUCUUGCAGGUUUUUAUGGCGUAUAUGCGCUCAUCUUGUCAUUAUUUUAAAACACAUAUUUCAUAAAUACAUACUUAAUACAUAAAUAAUGUAACGGCACUUGUGUUGUUCCGUGAGUUUUUUGUAAUUUACCAAAUAAUUUGCUGUUGUAGAAUCUUGUGAUUGUACUCGACAUUCUUGGAAAUUGCUAAGUGGGAAGGUUGUCGGGAUGGUGACAAUUUACCAAGCAAAGACAUAAUGUACGUGCAACGCUCGUGGGCCCUUACAAAGACCACGAGGAAAGCAAAAGUAGUACAACAAUGAUCACUUAUGGUUAUUCCAUUUUCGAGAGUGAGACUGAAGGUAGACUACUAAUUUUUAGGAAAUUAACUUCCUACAGGUGUUAAGUAGUAGGCUACGUUUGCUCGGCCAUUUUCAAGGAAGAAGACGGGGAAAACAGCCCUGCUAUUUUUUUCCUAUUCAACCCCAGAUCCCUAAACACUGACAGAUUAAGACCACAUGGAGCACGCCAAAUCCACGUGGACCAGUGGUUGUAAUCUCUUAUCAUCCCAACAGAUAUAUUUCUUGACUGGAAUAUAUAUCCACUUAUCUCAUUCUGUGUGACAUAUCCUGUGAUAUGAUUUGAUAUUCCAUCUGCGAUCUGAUUCUGUGUAUGGUGUAGCCUACCAGCAAUAACAAAACUACCAACACCACCAACAUUAUUAUUAUUAUUAUUAUUAUUAUUAUUAUUAUUAAUAAUAAUAAUAAUAAUAAUAAUAAUAAUAAUAUUAUUAAUGCACGCCAUCAGUAAACUAUUUUAUGAGUCAUCUCUUUUCUGACCAAUUUUCUGCCGGUCAUUUCCUGAAAUUAAUACAAUUAUCUUGUUGCAUAUACAUUAGCCCACAAACCGGCUGCUGAAGAGUUGUUAAAACACUACUCGUAUAUUACUGUUCAUUCUCCUGUGACUGAGGCAAUGAGAAUAUUUAUUGAGUCCAAGGUUUUAUGAAUAUACACGUCUUCUAGUGAAUAUCUCCAGGAUGGAUUUUUUUUUCUCGCUUUGGAUAGUUCAAAUCUCCGGUAAGCCGAAAGGGAUCGCUGUAGGCGCUGCUAAAAACUAUGUGUGCACAUGGUCACGUGUUGUGACGCUCGACGAGCCUCUUGAGAGAGAAGAAUAAUGACGUUGCUCCACACUGGGCCAAUGCAGAGUCUGGAAAGUGAAAAAAGCCAGUAGGCUACAUGAAGAAAUAAUAAUGAUGGUGACAAUGACACUACAAGCCCUACUUUUACACUUCUGUAAGCUGCAAUUGACAAGUAAUGCUUUUAUUUUCUGAAAUUGCACCAGUUCUAAUUAGUUGGCUAUGACAGUGACAAUUGUAGGAUCAGUAAAUCUAAUAGUAACCAGAGCCCAAAGUCUCAUUAUGAUCAUAUCAUCAGCAUCAUUAUUAUCGGCUGUAGACAGCAGCAAGCUCACAACAGUAGCCGAAACACAUUUUAAAUAGAUAGAGUAAUAUUUAAGCAGAGAUGACUAAUUCCCACAAUGGUGCAGCGAAUUCUAUUUUGUCCACGAGUUAACUCACAUUCUGUCUGUCACUGGCCAAUUAUGAUUGCUGUUCUUUUUAAAGGACGUUGGAAAUGUACGAUGCCCCGCUGCGGUUUAAUAUAGUUCCAAGGGAUACCUUAAGGGGAAAGGAUUUCACUGACGUCAAUACUCAUUGAUAGUGUGUUAUUGGCAAUAAUGAUUUCCUCGUCACCGAUAGCGCUUGAUAGGGGAACUAUUGGGCAAGUGUAGCGGGAGGUGAAUUAAAUCGCAUGGAAUGGGACACACGGGGAGGACUGCUAUCCUCUCUCACUUUGACGGAGAAGAUCAGGAUCCCUAUCAACAAUCCAGCACAUGACACGACCCCCUCAGCAUCUCACCGUGGGGGCACUCGCACCGUGGAGACACCUGCCACACAGGCUGGUCCGGCGGAGGCUGACAUGGGGAGGCCAGGUGGAGGAACUCCCCUCCUAAUGCUUCACACCUGCCAGGGCUUUGGAGAGGAUUCACCUCCAGGUUUCUGUCUUCCUGUCGCUCGGGCUUUGAGAGGCCCCUCAGAUUUUCCUCUGAUCCGGACCCAUGCAAACCAAGUUCAGGCGCG